GGCUCAGAACGAACGCUGGCGGCGCGCCUAAUACAUGCAAGUCGAGCGAGAAGACGUAGCAAUACGUUUGUAAAGCGGCGAACGGGUGAGGAAUACAUGGGUAACCUACCCUCGAGUGGGGAAUAACUAGCCGAAAGGUUAGCUAAUACCGCAUACGGCUCCUGGUCUGCGGAUUGGGAGAGAAAGCGAUACCAUGGGUAUCGCGCUCUUGGAUGGGCUCAUGUCCUAUCAGCUUGUUGGUGAGGUAAUGGCUCACCAAGGCUUCGACGGGUAGCUGGUCUGAGAGGACGAUCAGCCACACUGGCACUGCGACACGGGCCAGACUCCUACGGGAGGCAGCAGUAAGGAAUAUUGCGCAAUGGGCGACAGCCUGACGCAGCGACGCCGCGUGGGGGAUGAAGGUCUUCGGAUUGUAAACCCCUUUCGGCAGGGAAGAUGGAACGGGUAACCGUUCGGACGGUACCUGCAGAAGCAGCCACGGCUAACUUCGUGCCAGCAGCCGCGGUAAUACGAAGGUGGCAAGCGUUGUUCGGAUUUACUGGGCGUACAGGGAGCGUAGGCGGUUAGGUAAGCCCUUCGUGAAAUCUCCGGGCCUAACCCGGAAAGGGCGGAGGGGACUGCUUGGCUAGAGGAUGGGAGAGGAGCGCGGAAUUCCCGGUGUAGCGGUGAAAUGCGUAGAGA
This 681-nucleotide ribosomal RNA is filed under the name uncultured nitrite-oxidizing bacterium. RNAcentral's name for it is "bacterial SSU rRNA". It matches the Rfam family "Bacterial small subunit ribosomal RNA", at positions 21 to 696 of the family's 1533-position model. The record is from RNAcentral.